This 481-nucleotide ribosomal RNA is filed under the name uncultured bacterium. Its description in RNAcentral is "partial 16S ribosomal RNA". It matches the Rfam family "Bacterial small subunit ribosomal RNA", at positions 30 to 506 of the family's 1533-position model. The record is from RNAcentral.
AUUGAACGCUGGCGGCAUGCCUUACACAUGCAAGUCGAACGGUAACAGGUCUUCGGAUGCUGACGAGUGGCGAACGGGUGAGUAAUACAUCGGAACGUGCCCGAUCGUGGGGGAUAACGAGGCGAAAGCUUUGCUAAUACCGCAUACGAUCUACGGAUGAAAGCGGGGGAUCUUCGGACCUCGCGCGGACGGAGCGGCCGAUGGCAGAUUAGGUAGUUGGUGGGAUAAAAGCUUACCAAGCCGACGAUCUGUAGCUGGUCUGAGAGGAUGAUCAGCCACACUGGGACUGAGACACGGCCCAGACUCCUACGGGAGGCAGCAGUGGGGAAUUUUGGACAAUGGGCGAAAGCCUGAUCCAGCCAUGCCGCGUGCAGGAUGAAGGCCUUCGGGUUGUAAACUGCUUUUGUACGGAACGAAAAGCCUCUUUCUAAUAAAGAGGGGUCAUGACGGUACCAUAAGAAUAAGCACCGGCUAACUACGU